CGCGUAGGCGGAUGUUUAAGUCGGGGGUGAAAGCCCGGGGCUCAACCUUGGAACUGCGUUUGUGACUGCAAGACUUGAGUGUCGGAGAGGUUGGCGGAAUUCCUAGUGUAGAGGUGAAAUUCGCAGAUAUUAGGAGGAACACCGAUGGCGUAAGCAGCCAACUGGACGACUACUGACGCUGAGAUACGAAAGCGUGGGGAGCAAACAG
RNAcentral lists this ribosomal RNA (208 nucleotides) under uncultured bacterium. RNAcentral describes it as "partial 16S ribosomal RNA". It matches the Rfam family "Bacterial small subunit ribosomal RNA", at positions 568 to 775 of the family's 1533-position model. The record is from RNAcentral.